UGACCAAUUCUAAACCACACUCUUCAGACC
This 30-nucleotide non-coding RNA is filed under the name Mus musculus (house mouse). The record is from RNAcentral. Lineage: Eukaryota; Metazoa; Chordata; Mammalia; Rodentia; Muridae.